RNAcentral lists this ribosomal RNA (274 nucleotides) under uncultured bacterium. RNAcentral's name for it is "partial 16S ribosomal RNA". It matches the Rfam family "Bacterial small subunit ribosomal RNA", at positions 523 to 796 of the family's 1533-position model. The record is from RNAcentral.
AUACGGAGGGCGCGAGCGUUAUUCGGAAUCAUUGGGCGUAAAGCGCGUGUAGGCGGCUGGGUAAGUCGGAUGGGAAAGCCCGGGGCUCAACCUCGGAAUUGCAUACGAAACUGCCUAGCUAGAGUCUCGGAGAUGAGGGCGGAAUUCCCGGUGUAGAGGUGAAAUUCGUAGAUAUCGGGAGGAACACCAGUGGCGAAGGCGGCCCUCUGGACGAUGACUGACGCUGAGACGCGAAAGCGUGGGGAGCAAACAGGAUUAGAAACCCCGGUAGUCC